Molecule: RNA transcript, 2542 nt
Organism: Cucurbita maxima (winter squash)
Lineage: Eukaryota; Viridiplantae; Streptophyta; Magnoliopsida; Cucurbitales; Cucurbitaceae
Exons: 3
Source: RefSeq, a predicted model, not a curated record
UAACUAUGUUCGAUAAAAUAUAAGAGACUUUGUAAAAUUUCAAUGUAAAUUGGGCAUUUAGUUGUGGGUGGAAAUGCUAUAAUCUGAGGGGAAACAAUCUGCUUCUUCGAUUUCUCCGCCCUGAGAGAUUUCAGAAAUCCCAAAUUCUUGUUUCGAGGUAUGAAGUCGGUGUUCAGCGGAUUUUCCCCAUUUUGUUUUUGAGUGGCGAUCUAGCGAAUGACGGACGAUCUUGGUUUUCUUAUCCGGUUAAUCUUUCGAACUCGAUUUAUUUUUUUGUUGUCGCUGUGGCUCGCAUUUUUAGAGCAACAACUGAUAUAUUCGUAGAGGAGUGGGAUAAGAUUCUUGAUUGUGUCUGGGCCUGAAAGUGACUUCUGAGCUUUUGCAAAUAGCUUGAGUGAACUCUGUUUGGAUGCUUUCUGGGUUCUGAGUAAUUGGAGAAGAAAUUUUGGAGAACUUUCAUAUUGAUCGUUUGAGAUCUAGAUAGGAGUUUUCGUAGUUUUUUCUUUUUAUUUAUUUAUUUUUUUCAUUUUCCAUAUGGAGGUUACUGAUCAAACAGGCCCCAUCAGCCACUCCUUUCCAUUUUGAGAUUCUACCUGUAAAUUCUAUGGGGAAAACCUUUUAGUUUCCUUAUUAAAUUUUCCCCCAAAACUCUUUCACUCGUCUGGAGAAGAACCGAUGGCCGUGUCUUUCAGCCGUUUUUCAUUGUGGUUUUGGAAGGGGAAGGAGAAAGAGUCUGUCGCAAAUGGGGCGCCUUCAAAUUCUUCCACCGAGGUUGGUACUGGUCUGAGAGAACCGGAGAGUCUCAAGUUGAAGAGGGUGGACUUGGGUUCAUUUUCAAAGAAGGUCAAGAACCAGAAAUGGCGAAGUAAGAAAGAAACAACAAGGAUUGACUGGGAAUACGAUUUUCUGAUUGUACCAUCUGGCGGUGAUGACAUGCAAAUGCCUGACUCUGCUGAUGAGGCCGAUUGGUCUAUUGGUUGGUUGGAGCCUCACGGUCCUGGCUUUCAGAGUGAUGAUAGUUUUGCCGUUCUGGUCCCUUCCUAUAGCAAUCGUUGCAAAGAGGUGGUGGAGGGUUCAAACGUCGAGCUUUUGGCUGCCAUAAAAAACCUUCAACAUGAAUUCUCACCUGAGAGCAAGAAGUAUAUGGAACUGUGGCUUUCUUCUUCCCUGCAAAUCUCGGAAACUUGACGUGCUUUUGGCGACGAUGAUGAAGGGCAGGUUCUCUGAUUACCGCAAAGUUCAUCGUCAUCUUGAGCCGAAGUUUACAAAUUAGACCAACUCAAGUCUUGUUUUGUGCAUAUCAUGUAAACUUGCGUUACAUUCGCCUCAUUUUCAAGGCAUUGCAAGUCUGCAAACACGUGAGGGAGGUUUUCAAAAUUGACUGUGAAUUUCGAUUGGAAAAAGAUUCAAUCACGGAGAUUACUCGUUCUGGAAAUGCUACCUGGAACUAAUUUGGAUUCGUCUGUUCCAGUAAUGCAAUGAGGAGGAGUGAAGAUUCUGGCGAGUCUCGCCGACUCUUCCACCAGUUGAGAAAUUUGUUUGUCUUGCUGUUUCGGACUCACAAUCCAGUCAAAUUAACGGAAGCACCAAACCUGACAGAGAUCUUCUCCGUGAUUAAUCGAAAUUUCGAGCUGGAAUUACCUAUAUCUCAAGAGGUAAUUUCUAGAGUAAGAUGUGAAUGAGAAGAACAAAAAGGAGCGAAUGGAAUUACCAAAUUUCUAGCUCCGAUGGACGACAUUGAUAAGGACGAGGCCGGUUUGACGUCACCGGACAAAACGAAAGGCUCUCGACUCACCGGAAGACGAGAGUCGGGGAGGGAGAGGACAUUGGUGACGUUGAGACGACGCCUAAUUGGGAGCUGUUUUUGUUUUGUUUGUUUUUUUUUCGAUUCACUCAAUAGAUAAUUUUCUUACAAAAACAAAAUACGUCAUUGUCUCUAUCAAUAUCCAAUCUUAUUAUUCUAUUUAGGCAAUCUUAUUAUUAUAUUUACUUUUGUAAGAAAGUAAGAUUUCCAGACCUCAAAAGGCAUCAUAUUCAUCCAAAAACCGGUCCAUCGCUGCAAGGCAACCACCCACCGAUUGUUGAGUUUCAGUCUCCGCCAUGUGUAACGGCCACCACCGAUCUUUGUUCAGAGGUAGCAUUUCUCCUAACCAGACCUCCGUACCGGAAAACGGCGACGCUUCCGUUGUGGACAAUCUACGGGGUCGAUUAGCGGAAACAGAGUCGCGGCUGGCUCAAGUUAGGGCUCGAGAGGCGGCGCUCAGCCGAAUCUUGGAGGAAAUGAAACGAUUAGUUUCUGUGAUGGAGAUCCUCAAGAACUACCUGAAACGGCGGUACAGAGACCGCCAAGAAUAUGUGGUUCGUCUCCUCGCCCCUCUAUCUAGAAAAUAGAAAUUCCUCUUCUUCAUCGCUGUCUGUAAUAUUAGCGGUACCAAUCAAAAACUCGUUUUGGUUACAUGCUUCUUCGUUCUUCUUAUUCACAAGUCUUGUUGACUAUAUUCUCCACCAAAUCUACGGAUUUAUUUAUUCGCUCUUGAUUUCA